This 253-nucleotide ribosomal RNA is filed under the name uncultured bacterium. Its description in RNAcentral is "partial 16S ribosomal RNA". It matches the Rfam family "Bacterial small subunit ribosomal RNA", at positions 524 to 776 of the family's 1533-position model. The record is from RNAcentral.
UACGAAGGGUGCAAGCGUUACUCGGAAUUACUGGGCGUAAAGCGUGCGUAGGUGGUUUGUUAAGUCCGAUGUGAAAGCCCUGGGCUCAACCUGGGAAUGGCAUUGGAUACUGGCAGGCUAGAGUGCGGUAGAGGGCAGUGGAAUUCCCGGUGUAGCAGUGAAAUGCGUAGAUAUCAGGAGGAACACCGGUGGUGUAAACGGCUUUCUGGACCAUAACUGACACUGAGGCACGAAAGCGUGGGUAGCAAACAGG